AGGACAGGGGGGUCUCUGCCGUGAGGCGGAGCCUGUCCGUCAGGUUGUGCGUGACGCGUCAGGCGCGACCAGUGGUUGUCGCUCGGGGGUGAUCGCCG
RNAcentral lists this small RNA (98 nucleotides) under Streptomyces jeddahensis. RNAcentral's name for it is "che1 RNA". It matches the Rfam family "che1 RNA". The record is from Rfam by way of RNAcentral. Lineage: Bacteria; Bacillati; Actinomycetota; Actinomycetes; Kitasatosporales; Streptomycetaceae.